This 468-nucleotide ribosomal RNA is filed under the name uncultured bacterium. Its description in RNAcentral is "partial 16S ribosomal RNA". It matches the Rfam family "Bacterial small subunit ribosomal RNA", at positions 28 to 507 of the family's 1533-position model. The record is from RNAcentral.
GACGAACGCUGGCGGCGUGCUUAACACAUGCAAGUCGAACGGAAAGGCCCUGCUUUUGUGGGGUGCUCGAGUGGCGAACGGGUGAGUAACACGUGAGUGACCUGCCCUUGACUUUGGGAUAACUUCAGGAAACUGGUGCUAAUACCGGAUAGGAGCUCCUGCGGCAUGGUGGGGGUUGGAAAGUUUCGGAGGUUGGGAAUGGACUCGCGGCUUAUCAGCUUGUUGGUGGGGUAGUGGCUUACCAAGGCUUUGACGGGUAGCCGGCCUGAGUGGGUGACCGGCCAAAUUGUGACUGAGAGACGGCCCAGACUCCUACGGGAGGGAGUCGUGGGGAAUAUUGCACAAUGGGCGGAAGCCUGAUGCAGCAACGCCGCGUGCGGGAUGACGGCCUUCGGGUUGUAAACCGCUUUCGCCUGUGACGAAGCGUGAGUGACGGUAAUGGGUAAAGAAGCACCGGCUAACUACGUG